GGCCUGGUGGUGUAGUGGGAACACAACCUCUUGAUUUUCAAGAUUUUGAGAGACUUUGAGGGAGACCCCUGUUCAAUUCGGGGCUGGGCCA
Molecule: non-coding RNA, 91 nt
Organism: Mycena galericulata
Lineage: Eukaryota; Fungi; Basidiomycota; Agaricomycetes; Agaricales; Mycenaceae
Source: the annotation of a GenBank genome assembly